AUUUAUAAAGUAUAUAUAUUUGUAUAAAUGACUUCCAAUCAUUAGGACUAAAUAAUUUUAGUAUAAAUA
This 69-nucleotide transfer RNA is filed under the name Toxorhynchites sp. CL-2019. Its description in RNAcentral is "tRNA-Gly". The record is from RNAcentral. Lineage: Eukaryota; Metazoa; Arthropoda; Insecta; Diptera; Culicidae.